This 437-nucleotide ribosomal RNA is filed under the name uncultured bacterium. RNAcentral describes it as "partial 16S ribosomal RNA". It matches the Rfam family "Bacterial small subunit ribosomal RNA", at positions 29 to 507 of the family's 1533-position model. The record is from RNAcentral.
AGCGAACGCUGGCGGCAGGCUUAACACAUGCAAGUCGAGCGGGCAUCCUUGUGGUGUCAGCGGCAGACGGGUGAGUAACGCGUGGGAACGUGCCCUUCGGUUCGGAAUAACUCAGGGAAACUUGAGCUAAUACCGGAUACGUGCGAGAGCAGAAAGGUUUAUCUGCCGAAGGAUCGGCCCGCGUCUGAUUAGCUAGUUGGUGAGGUUAUGGCUCACCAAGGCGACGAUCAGUAGCUGGUCUGAGAGGAUGAUCAGCCACACUGGGACUGAGACACGGCCCAGACUCCUACGGGAGGCAGCAGUGGGGAAUAUUGGACAAUGGGGGCAACCCUGAUCCAGCCAAGCCGCGUGAGUGAUGACGGCCUUAGGGUUGUAAAGCUCUUUUCUCCGGGACGAUAAUGACGGUACCGGAGGAAUAAGCCCCGGCUAACUUCGUG